Molecule: unclassified non-coding RNA, 335 nt
Filed under: soil metagenome
Description: partial contains 5.8S ribosomal RNA, internal transcribed spacer 2, and large subunit ribosomal RNA
Rfam family: 5.8S ribosomal RNA (bases 1-120)
Source: RNAcentral
GAUGAAGAACGUAGCGAAAUGCGAUAAGUAAUGUGAAUUGCAGAAUUCAGUGAAUCAUCGAAUCUUUGAACGCACAUUGCGCCCAUUAGCAUUCUAGUGGGCAUGCCUGUUCGAGCGUCAUUUCAACCCUUAAGCCCUGUUGCUUAGCGUUGGGAGCCUAGAGUACUGUAGCUCCCCAAAGUUAGUGGCGGAGUCGGUUUCACACUCUAGACGUAGUAAUUUUUUCUCGUCUGUAGUUGAGCCGGUCCCCUGCCGUAAAACACCCAAUUUAUCAAGGUUGACCUCGGAUCAGGUAGGAAUACCCGCUGAACUUAAGCAUAUCAAUAAGCGGAGGA